UCCCAAGCGUUGUUCGGAUUCAUUGGGCGUAAAGGGUGCGUAGGCGGCGCGGUAAGUCGGGUGUGAAAUCUCGGGGCUUAACUCCGAAACUGCAUUCGAUACUGCCGUGCUUGAGGACUGGAGAGGAGACUGGAAUUUACGGUGUAGCGGUGAAAUGCGUAGAUAUCGUAAGGAAGACCAGUGGCGAAGGCGGGUCUCUGGACAGUUCCUGACGCUGAGGCACGAAGGUCAGGGGAGCAAACGGG
Molecule: ribosomal RNA, 245 nt
Filed under: uncultured bacterium
Lineage: Bacteria
Description: partial 16S ribosomal RNA
Rfam family: Bacterial small subunit ribosomal RNA
Source: RNAcentral